This 516-nucleotide long non-coding RNA is filed under the name Zostera marina. RNAcentral describes it as "long non-coding RNA (ZMAR_LNC005998)". Lineage: Eukaryota; Viridiplantae; Streptophyta; Magnoliopsida; Alismatales; Zosteraceae. The record is from RNAcentral.
UCUCUAUUGUAAUUUAGGUUUUGCCUGCUCAUCCCUAAAAACAACAAAUGAAACCCCCCUUAUAAGGUUGAAAUCUGAAGAAUUGAAAGAACGAGGGUUUCAAGGAGCGAUAGUUGCUCUUGAAACCCUAGUUCUGUCUCCUUCACCCUUCUUCUCAAACCAUCGUUCUUCCUCCUGCCCUCUCUUUCAAGGGGAGAGAUAGAGAGAUCCGCUCACAGGUUGUUUGUCGUUCACAUUUUCCGUCGAUGUCGUCAUCCGCCAUUUUCCCAUUCUGAUCUCAACCGACGAACAUGUGUGUCUCGCUUUCUCUUCCUCCUCAUCGUCAAUGGACUUCCCACUCACGGAUAUAAUGUGAGAUUGUUGGAGAGAGCUUGAGUAUAUACCUGGGGUUUCUUUACUAGACCCCCAUCACGAACCUGAGGAAGAGUUUAAAAUCUAGAACUAUGAUUUUCAAACCAUUGGUUGAAUUUGGGAAGAGUUGGUUGGCUCUCGUAGCGUGGUGAUGGCAAGCCAUCU